RNAcentral lists this ribosomal RNA (451 nucleotides) under uncultured bacterium. RNAcentral's name for it is "SSU rRNA". It matches the Rfam family "Bacterial small subunit ribosomal RNA", at positions 26 to 518 of the family's 1533-position model. The record is from RNAcentral.
AGGACAAACGCUGGCGGCGUGCAUAACACAUGCAAGUCGAACGAGGGUAGCGAUACUCGAGUGGCGGACGGGUGAGGAACACGUGGAUGACCGACCUUUUACUGGGGAAUACCCGUGGGAAACCACGGCUAAUACCGCAUACGUUCGCGAGAAGAAAGCCUUCGGGCGGUAAGAGACGGGUCUGCGGUCGAUUAGCUAGUUGGUGCGGUAACGGCGUACCAAGGCGACGAUCGAUAGCUGGUCUGAGAGGAUGAUCAGCCACAUUGGGAUUGAGAACGGCCCAAAUCCCUACGGGGAGCAGCAGUGAGGAAUAUUCGGCAAUGGGCGCAAGCCUGACCGAGCGACGCCGCGUGGGGGAUGACGCAUUUCGGUGUGUAAACCCCUUUUCUGUGGGACGAGAAUGGACGGUACCACAGGAAUAAGUCUCGGCUAACUACGUGCCAGCAGCCGC